RNAcentral lists this ribosomal RNA (358 nucleotides) under uncultured bacterium. RNAcentral describes it as "bacterial SSU rRNA". It matches the Rfam family "Bacterial small subunit ribosomal RNA", at positions 29 to 372 of the family's 1533-position model. The record is from RNAcentral.
AACGAAUGCUGGCGGCGUGGAUUAGGCAUGCAAGUCGAACGGAUUCGGGUAGCAAUACUCGAAUGAGUGGCGAAAGGGUGAGUAACACGUGAGUAAUCUGCCUUUAGGAUUGGGAUAACUCGCGAAAGCGAAGCUAAUACCGAGUGUGGCCACGAUUUCUUCGGAAAAUGUGGUGAAAGGAUGGCCUCUAUUUAUAAGCUAUCGCCUUUAGAUGAGCUCGCGGUAAUUAGCUAGUUGGUAGGGUAAUGGCCUACCAAGGCUAUGAUGUAUAGCUGGCCUGAGAGGGUGGUCAGCCACACUGGGACUGAGACACUGCCCAGACACCUACGGGUGGCUGCAGUCGAGGAUCUUUCGCAAA